AUUCCAGCUCCAAUAGCGUAUAUUAAAGUUGUUGCAGUUAAAAAGCUCGUAGUUGAAUUUCUGGUGGGAGUGUACAGUCCGACACUGAGUGUUGGUUCUUGUGUGUCUCCGGCCAUCCUUGGAGUGAAUCUGUCUGGCAUUUAGUUGUUGGGCAGAGUAUCUCCAUCGUUUACUGUGAGGAAAGGAAAGUGUUCAAAGCAGGCUUACGCCGUUGAAUCUUUUAGCAUGGAAUAAUAAGAUAGGAUCUUGAUACUAUUUUGUUGGUUUCUAGAGCUGAGGUAAUGAUUAAUAGGGAUAGUUGGGGGCAUUCGUAUUUAACUGUCAGAGGUGAAAUUCUUGGAUUCGGUCAAGACUAACUUAUGCGAAAGCAUUCACCAAGGAUGUCUUCAUUG
RNAcentral lists this ribosomal RNA (392 nucleotides) under Eucampia sp. RNAcentral describes it as "partial small subunit ribosomal RNA". It matches the Rfam family "Eukaryotic small subunit ribosomal RNA", at positions 582 to 975 of the family's 1831-position model. The record is from RNAcentral. Lineage: Eukaryota; Bacillariophyta; Thalassiosirophyceae; Eucampiales; Eucampiaceae.